CAAGAGCUCAAAUUUGAAAGCUGGCCCCUUCGGGGUCCGCAUUGUAAUUUGCAGAGGAUGCUUCGGGAGCGGCCCCCAUCUAAGUGCCCUGGAACGGGCCGUCAUAGAGGGUGAGAAUCCCGUCUGGGAUGGGGUGCCCGCGCCCGUGUGAAGCUCCUUCGACGAGUCGAGUUGUUUGGGAAUGCAGCUCUAAAUGGGUGGUAAAUUUCAUCUAAAGCUAAAUACUGGCCGGAGACCGAUAGCGCACAAGUAGAGUGAUCGAAAGAUGAAAAGCACUUUGAAAAGAGAGUUAAACAGCACGUGAAAUUGUUGAAAGGGAAGCGCUUGCGACCAGACUCGCUCGCGGGGUUCAGCCGGCCUUCGGGCCGGUGUACUUCCCCGCGGGCGGGCCAGCGUCGGUUUGGGCGGCCGGUCAAAGGCCCUCGGAAUGUAACGCCCCCCGGGGCGUCUUAUAGCCGAGGGUGCCAUGCGGCCAGCCCGGA
Molecule: ribosomal RNA, 482 nt
Filed under: Penicillium sp. 7.2a
Lineage: Eukaryota; Fungi; Ascomycota; Eurotiomycetes; Eurotiales; Aspergillaceae
Description: eukaryotic LSU rRNA
Rfam family: Eukaryotic large subunit ribosomal RNA
Source: RNAcentral